RNAcentral lists this ribosomal RNA (305 nucleotides) under uncultured bacterium. RNAcentral's name for it is "bacterial SSU rRNA". It matches the Rfam family "Bacterial small subunit ribosomal RNA", at positions 335 to 640 of the family's 1533-position model. The record is from RNAcentral.
UGCCUACGGGAGGCAGCAGUGAGGAAUAUUGGUCAAUGGGCGAGAGCCUGAACCAGCCAAGUCGCGUGAGGGAGUACUGCCCUAUGGGUUGUAAACCUCUUUUGUCGGGGAGCAAAAGCCGGACGUGUCCGGCUGUGAGAGUACCCGAAGAAAAAGCAUCGGCUAACUCCGUGCCAGCAGCCGCGGUAAUACGGAGGAUGCGAGCGUUAUCCGGAUUUAUUGGGUUUAAAGGGUGCGCAGGCGGUCUGUUAAGUCAGCGGUCAAAGCCCGGGGCUCAACCCCGGCCCGCCGUUGAAACUGGCAGG